GACGAACGCUGGCGGCGUGCUUAACACAUGCAAGUCGAACGGAAAGGCCUCUUUCGGGGGGUACUCGAGUGGCGAACGGGUGAGUAACACGUGUGUAACCUGCCCUUGACUUUGGGAUAACUUCAGGAAACUGGGGCUAAUACCGGAUAGGAGCUCCUGCUGCAUGGUGGGGGUUGGAAAGUUUCGGCGGUUGGGGAUGGACUCGCGGCUUAUCAGCUUGUUGGUGGGGUAGUGGCUUACCAAGGCUUUGACGGGUAGCCGGCCUGAGAGGGUGACCGGCCACAUUGGGACUGAGAUACGGCCCAGACUCCUACGGGAGGCAGCAGUGGGGAAUAUUGCACAAUGGGUGGAAGCCUGAUGCAGCAACGCCGUGUGCGGGAUGACGGCCUUCGGGUUGUAAACCGCUUUCGCUCAUGACGAAGCUUUGUGUGACGGUAGUGGGUAAAGAAGCACCGGCUAACUACGUG
RNAcentral lists this ribosomal RNA (467 nucleotides) under uncultured bacterium. RNAcentral describes it as "partial 16S ribosomal RNA". It matches the Rfam family "Bacterial small subunit ribosomal RNA", at positions 28 to 507 of the family's 1533-position model. The record is from RNAcentral.